This 72-nucleotide transfer RNA is filed under the name Lethrinus laticaudis (grass emperor). RNAcentral describes it as "tRNA-Met". It matches the Rfam family "tRNA". Rfam says of the family: Transfer RNA (tRNA) molecules are approximately 80 nucleotides in length. Their secondary structure includes four short double-helical elements and three loops (D, anti-codon, and T loops). Lineage: Eukaryota; Metazoa; Chordata; Actinopteri; Spariformes; Lethrinidae. The record is from RNAcentral.
UAGUAAGGUCAGCUAAUUUAAGCUUUUGGGCCCAUACCCCAAACAUGUAGGUUAAAAUCCUUCCUUUGCUAA